AAUCAUUAGCCUCUUAAUUAGAGACUCGUAUGAACGGUGAAACAUUUCAAUUACUUUAUUAAUUAACUUUAUCAAAUUUAAACCAAGAAUAAAAAUGUUCUUAUAAAUUAAUUAGACGACAAGACCCUUUUGAACUUUACUAUUGUUUAGCUGGGGUAGCUAUAAAAUAUUAAUCUUCUUAACUUUAUUUAUAUAAAUGACCCAAUUCAAUUGAUUAUUUGAACAAGUUACCAUAGGGAUAACAGCGUAAUAUUUUUUAAAAGUUCUUAUUUAAAAAAAUGAUUGCGACCUCGAUGUUGAAUUAAUGUAACUUUAUUGAUGAAGUAAUCAUAAAAGUUGGUCUGUU
Molecule: ribosomal RNA, 346 nt
Filed under: Gibbaranea occidentalis
Lineage: Eukaryota; Metazoa; Arthropoda; Arachnida; Araneae; Araneidae
Description: partial 16S ribosomal RNA
Source: RNAcentral